RNAcentral lists this ribosomal RNA (270 nucleotides) under uncultured bacterium. Its description in RNAcentral is "partial 16S ribosomal RNA". It matches the Rfam family "Bacterial small subunit ribosomal RNA", at positions 32 to 285 of the family's 1533-position model. The record is from RNAcentral.
AAUCAACGCUGGCGGCGUGCCUAACACAUGCAAGUCGAACGCGAAAAUCCCGCAAGGGAUCUGUAGAGUGGCAAACGGGUGAGUAACACGUGGGUGACCUGCCUUCGAGUGGGGGAUAACGUCCCGAAAGGGACGCUAAUACCGCAUGACAUCCUGCCCUUGAACGGGUGGAGAUCAAAGCUGGGGAUCGCAAGACCUAGCGCUUGAAGAGGGGCCCGCGUCCGAUUAGCUAGUUGGUGAGGUAACGGCUCACCAAGGCGACGAUCGGUA